Molecule: long non-coding RNA, 1740 nt
Organism: Gouania willdenowi (blunt-snouted clingfish)
Lineage: Eukaryota; Metazoa; Chordata; Actinopteri; Blenniiformes; Gobiesocidae
Source: Ensembl
GACACACCUACACACACACACACACACACACACACACACACACACACACACACACACACACACACACACACACACACACACACACACACAAACACACACACACACACACACACACACACACACACACACACACACACACACACACACAAAAUUUAUCUCAAACUAGUUUACGUUGCCAAACCAAGUGUGACAUAGAACGAUGUUCACACAAACAGAAUAAAUAUUAAAAAUACAGUUUCACUACACAUACUGUAUCUAUAACAAAAUGUACAAUUAUGUUCUAAGUGUUAUAAAAGGGGAAACAGUUAUGUACAGGGUUUUACAUAUAUCCAUAUAUAUACUAUCCUCAUUAACUACAAAUGUAAAAAGUACAAACACAUCAUCCCCUGGAAGAACCUUCUGUCAGAUCACAUUGCUUUGGAAAAAAAUACCAGUUGUUUUUUUCCCCAUAAUUUUUCCUCUCACUACAUAUGUGUUUAAGUGUGUACAGUAUAUGUGUAGGUAUGUAUUUAUAUACUAUUUGCAGGCUAGGGGAGUAACGGAUUACAAUCAACGGCGUUAAGGAAUAUGGAUACAAAAAACAUGUAAUGGUAAUCCAUUACAGUAUAUUAAAAAACAUGUAAUCAGAUUACAGGGUUUUUUUAAUAAAAAUAGAGAUUACUUUGGUGGAUUACAGUUGAAAAGCAAGAGGAAUAUACAUCAGUGUAUCAGACACAGUGCACACAUUACGACACUUCAUGGCAGUUCACCACAACAAAUGAACAUGUGAAACAAGCUAAUGAUGUGAUGAUGGGAGAAAACACCGUGGUCAGCGCGCGCUUGUCUAGAAACUGACCAACUUGUCCGUGGACUCACAGAGCGUCUGUAUUUAAUACAUCUGAGCACUAAAGAGUUUUCUGAGCAGAGUUGAUGGAGCAGUAAGUGUGUUUUAUGUUUGUGUGUCACGUAGACACUGUAGUUACAUGUAUCUACCGUUAACAAAGACCCCUACACACUACACAGACCCCUACACACUACACAGACCCCUACACACUACACAGACCCCUACACACUACACAGGCCACUACACACUACACAGACCACUACACACUACACAGACCCCUACACACUACACAGACCACUACACACUACACAGACCACUACACACUACACACUACACAGACCCCUACACAAUACACAGACCCCUACACAUUACACAGACCCCUACACACUACACAGACCCCUACACACUACACAGACCACUACACAGACCCCUACACACUACACAGACCCCUACACACUACACAGACCACUACACACUACACAGACCCCUACACACUACACAGACCCCUACACACUACACAGACGAUCCCUACACACUACACAGACCACUACACACUACACAGACCACUACACACUACACAGACCACUACACACUACACAGACCCCUACACACUACACAGACCACUACACACUACACAGACCCCUACACACUACACAGACCACUACACACUACACAGACCACUACACAGCAAUCUGGAACAUGGCAGCAUGUCAAUAGCAUCUGGUUUUAUAUGACGUUAUAUUUGUGACACAAUUCUGCUGUCAGUGCACGUCUGAACUUUAUCACGACUGUACAUGGUCCACGUUUUAAAGAUCAUUAAAAUUAAACCAGCGUGCACAAGAAUUGUACACAGAGCUGUGUGUGCGUCUAAAGAAUAUGUUUGAAUAAUAAAUAAAACCAAUAGAAGCUGAUUUUCA